CUUAAGCAGCCAGGCAGCUUAGCUCAUGGGGUCUAGUACAAGAUAAUGGGGAUUCUGUCACUGAGUCCACAAAGGCAGAGCUGAGGUCUGAGUGAUCAAGGAGGUCACAGGAAGCCACCUUUAGCAUCCACACAAGCCCAGGCUCCCUGGAGGAAGGAUGGUAGGGAUGGCUGUCCUCGUACUGAGCCUCUUGUCCACUGCAGUCACUCUGAACAACCAGACACAGCAGUCUUCUCAACACAGCCAGAUCCCCAACAAGGCUUGUGCCAGCUGCCACCACUGCCCAGGCACCAGUGUUACAACCUAGCGUCUUCUCAGCACAUUGGAGUCCUCUGAGCCUCUGACAACUCUCUUUCUCACCCAUUUCUGAGGAUUGUACCACUUCUGUGCCAUCUUAAAACCCCUCUGGGAUAGGUUUACUGGGCCUAUAGCAGAGAGCUGACAAGUCAUACACCCACUAUGGGGAGCCAGUAUCUCUGGAAAGACAGACACCAAGCGGAUAGACAUCUGGAUGUGGCAGUGACUGAAAAUCUGUACAGCAGAGGUGACCGUUCAGUGAGAGAGAAGCAGAAUGCAACAGCUGGAAACAGCUUGGCCAGUGAGGCAUCCCGUCAACUCAAAUACCGCUGCAUCAGCCUCACUCUAUGGAGAAGACUGCCACUGAGCUGGUGUGCUCUGACUGCCGUCCUGAUCUUCAAAGCUGUUUCUCACUUACAGGAGAACAUUAUGGCAGGACAUAAUGGGAAUUUUGUCCUUUGCUGCCUGGGAAUCCUCAGUCUCCUCUGAAAGGUAGGAUGGUUCAGUAGCCGUGAAUGACAGCCCACCAGUCCAGGUACAGACCCAACUCUGAACCACGCCAAAGAUACAUGUAUGCUCAGGCCCAUCCUAAAACUGAACUUGGUCUAAAAGAUCACCUCAGGUGGCUGAGAGAGAGCAUCAUCUGGGUUGACUGUCUAGUGUCUGAAACACAGCAAGUGCUUAGCACAUGGUAGCUUUGCCUCCACCCCUGCCAGCGUGUUUAACAUCCUGGAUUAACUUCACACCUCCUCGAGAGUAGAGACAGCUUGAGCCAUGCCUGCUGAACAGAUGCUGCCAGUCUGUGAGCCCAAGGAGUAAGCAGUCAGCCAUUUUGGCUCCCUAGAGGGGCAGACCCACAGCACCCCACCACCCCACUUCAAGCCUUGCAGAGUCAUGAGAGACCCACGGCAGAGCUACACCAUGGCUGCGUCUGCCUGUGCUUUCCCCUCCUUAGCAGCCCUGACAGCAGUCACUGCUUGCAUUUCACAGAGGCAAGAGCCUGUCUCAGACCAAGCUGGCCAUUUGAGCUAGGCCCAAACCUAGCAUGGCUAAUCUGUCCUGUCUACCCUGUCCAUGGCGGAAGUUUGCCUGGGGAGAACCUCUUCCAUGCCAAUUCAUACAUUCUGUUGAGACACCAGCUGCAUGACCACGCUGUAGCCAAGGGUUCUAGUCAGACCCUCAGGUAGAUCUGAGGCCCAAGGCCAGCACAAGAGGAAUCCAUUUUCUGCAGGAGGCCAGCAGACAGGACCCUACAGUGUCCCUCAAGGCCUGGCACCUGCCAGACACUUGGAAUCAAUCUUCCUAGGCUAAAGAGACCCAAUUGGGGAAUGCAGGGCCCAGGUUGGAAUGAGAGAGCUCUGGUUUCCCAGGACGCUGCAGCUGAGGAGCAGUAGGUAUGGGGUACCCUGGCUGAAGCCCAGCCUCCUCCCCCUCCCCCCUCAGUGGGGGGCCCAAGAGUGCUCACCUGGAGCCAUAAACAAGAUGGUUCUGAGCCCCACCUGUUGCCUGGCAUGUAUGCCAAGACCUGCGGGGGUGGGGUCCCCAAAAAGGAAGCAUCAUCCCUCCUGAUGUGCCUAUGCCAAACUUUUGAAGCCCUAUGAAAGCUUCCAGACCAUUGCUCUGCCAAACCUCACCUGCGUGCCAGGCAGCCACCCUCCUCCAGCCCAGCUGGGGCAGGAACAGAAAACCCAGCUAACUCUCAGUAAGCCAAAGCCAGCCUCUGCAGCUUCAGUUUCUGCCUUAGGCAAGGGCAGGGGGCCAUUCUGGUGCAUCUCAAAGGAUAGCCCAGGGGUCUGAGGAGAAGCCUCUGAGCUACCACGUGGUCUCCCUGGGGCCUGGUGGGAAGCAUGAGGACUUUCUUAGGGUGCAGGGAGUUGGCAUGCACUCCACCCAGGGCUCUCAGCUGUUCUGCGGCUCUGAGCAGGAGUUUGCCCCGAAGCAGCAGGCAGCCUGAUUGGGUGGUCCCUAGGGAGGCAGCUGAGUUCCCAGACCCAGACUUCAGGCCUGCCUCCACCUGAGCUGCGAGGUCUGUCUCCCCUGUCCAUGGUGGAAGCUCUCCCUGUGGAGAACCUCUUCCAUGCCAAUUUGUACAUUCUGCUGAGACACCGGCUGCAUGACCAGGCUGUAGCCAAGGGUUUCUAGUCAGACCGUCAGGUAGAUCUGAGGCCCAAGGCCAGCACAAAAGGAGUCCCUUUUCUGCAGGAGGCCAACAGACAGGAUGCAAAUACCCCUUUCCCAACUGUAGACAGAGGGCGGAGCUUGCAGCAGUUGGGGUUUUUGUAGGGGACAGAUAUGGAAUGGCACUCGACCGUGCCCUGGCAAGGGGAGAAGGGAAGGCUUGGAUAUUGACCUUCCCAAGAAAGGGUAAGUGAGCAGUUUUUCUUCUCUGCUUCCCUUCUCACAACCACUCCCUCCCUGUUUUUUUUUUUAAAUCUUCAAAGUGAUUUGCAGAACCGAGCUAAUUAAUUUCCCAAAGUGGUGGGGCCAUCACCUGUCUCCCUCCUGAGUCCCGCCCCAGCCCCCAAGCAUCUGGGGAAGGAGAUGGCAGAGGGGAUAACUCAGCUGGCAGAGGCAGGGGAGAAGGGAGGGCGGGCCGGCCUGCAGCAGCCCAGAUGCAGGGAGAGGAGAUUAGAGAAGGCAGGAGGCCAGUGGGCAGGCCUCCACCUGCCCUUCCAGGAGCAAGCCGUGGCCCAGAUCUGCAGUCAGCUCUGUCCCCGCAGCAGCCACUGUGCCAGCAUCACCAGGACCACGCUCUCCACAGAGAGCCUCCUGGCCUCCUCUGCCCUGGGUGAACAUUUAUUCAUCCACCCACUCAUCCACACCCCCCUCUCAUUUAACUAUCCAAGACCAACGCUAACCUUGCUCUCAGCCCUUCUAUCCCUGGAUUAGGAGCAGGAGUCACAUCUUAAGGAACCCGAUAGAUGGCAAGACAGACUACCAGACACUGGGAUGAGUCGUGGACAGGACCAGAGAUGCACAGGCGUAUGCCGCAACUUCCCUGCAUAGACAUUUGGUCUCACACUGUGGUUUGAUGGUGAAAGGUGUUUGCCAGGGAGGAAUGAGUUAGCAGACAAGACAUUUAGGCAGAGAGGAUGUCAAUCACAGAACAAGCAGGCAGAGGAGUCUGGGGAAUUGAGUUCCUGAUGACUAGGAAAGACAAUGAAGAUGCAAGACUGUCCACAGGAAGACAUGGGAUUGUGGGGUCUCAGGCAAUGCCCCUGCCUUUGCUCACCCCUCCCUGGUGUACAGAGAUGACAGCAGAGUGUGGUCCCAUGGGAAACAGAAGGUACUGAGUGAACAAGAGGCGAGCUACCAGGGCUCCAGCCUCCUGGCCCUUCCAGUUGUCUGAGGAUCUGGGGGAUCAAUACUCAGGACCUGGAACCUGGGUUUCAUUGACAGAUAGGAAGUUUUGCCUAAAACAUUAGGGUGGGUUCUCUGUUGCCAUGAUAAAACACCCUGACUAACAUCAGCUCUGGGGAGGAAAGGGUUUAUUUUAGUCUACAGGCCAGGAAAACACACAGAACCUGAAGCAGAAAUCAGAGGAAUGUUGCUGCUGGGCCACUUCAGGCUCACACUUAGCUUUCUUAUAUCUGCCUAGGGAACGGUGCUACCCACAGUGGACUGGGCUUUCACACAUCCAUUAGCAAUCAAGAUAAUUCCUCACAGACAUGUCUAUGGGCCAAUCUGAUCUAGGCAAUCCCUCAAUUGAGACUCCUUUCUCAGUUGUCUCAGGCUAUUGUCACAUUGACAAUCAAAGCUAGCUAGCAACAGAACAAGAAGUUCGGAGGUUAUGUAGGUAACACCUUGAGCCGGCUGAAGGGCUCACUCUUUGCAUGCCCUAACCUCUCCCUUCACAGUCACAGACAGCUGCUCUCACUCCAGUACCACACCCAGUCAUGGUAACAGCCAAGCAAAGAGAAAAGGAAGAUCUUGCUCCACACAUAUCCCUUUCUGGGGAGAACCACACCCAGGAGCCCCCAGCAGUCUUUUCCUUAAAUCCUCUAGGCCAAAUGAAGUCACACAUCCUUCCCCAGGCAGGGCCUGGUCAAGGAGAGUAAAGCUACUCAGAUUAGCCAAGCUCAAUCUGAACCUGUCUCCUCAAUUAAACACCACACUGUCACACUGAGGAGUCUGGGUUCUUUAAAUAGGAAAGAGCAAACAGAAUCUAUCUACUGUUAACAUUCUAAAUGCAUUGAAAGAGAGGGAGAGAGAGGGAGAGAGAAAGAGACCAACCCUCCUUCCUCACAUUGUGUCACUGACCUUGAGGCAUUUUUCUUAGCAGCUCUGAACUGCAGCAGUCAGCUUGUUUUCAAGAGAAUUAACUCCAUGGAACCACGCCAUUCCACCCAGGCAUGUGUGUAUAAGCCCCGCCUGCACAGCUGGAUAUCUGGCAGGUGACCCCAGGGAGGGAUGGGUAGGGAGUGUCAUCACCAUGAACUUAGUUGGUGGUUCCAAGUCACCAAAGGCCAGAGUCCCAUCACCUGUCGCAGGCCACAGAGGCUGGACCAACUGCAAGGCUGAGGAAGAGCUGGGGACCAUUUUCUCUUGGCAAAUGAGAGAAAGUUGCUUUGGAUGGUAACUUAUAGAGGCCACACCCUGCUUCAGACAGCACCGUGGAGAAGGGUCAGACAAUGGUAACCGAUCUAGACAAAGAGCAGCAGUGCUCGGAAGCAGAGCGCGAGCACAGACAACACCUGGAGUCAGAAGCAAGGCAGGGCGGGGCUGUGCUAGACUCCUCCUUGCAGACUCUCAAAUCUGAGAUGAGGAUGAAGCAAGACAGCCAUGAUACAUGUGUGCCCACACACAGAGGUUGAGGGGCCGGCUUUGGAGUAUAUGCUCAAGUUCAAUUCUGCCUCAGCUGCCUGUGCUAUGACCUGAAGGAAGGAGACAGAUUCUCGACCCCUUAGUACCUGGUCUCUGGGUUGUGCAGCCAGCACAAGGAUCAUGGGGAGGCUUGUAUGUUUGUGGAUUUUCACACACAAGGACUCUCUGAUGCAGGGCAACAGGCAUCAACUGGCCUUUGAUCCUAGUAAAUUUUCUCAGAUGCAUUAAUGUGCCAAGUCCAGUGCCGGGGCUGUGAGGACAGAAAGAAAUCUCCCUCUGCCCUUAUGCCUCUACGCCUCACACCUUUGUUUAGGUACUAGGAACUCCUUGGUAUGAGCCUGGGCCAAACAACUGUAAUGAAAUGAUUUAUUGGAAAAAUCGAGAAGUGCUAAAAAGCUAGAAGGAACCAGGACCUGGACAUUUUGAGGGAACGCAAGCAGAAUACUUUCCUUCUUUCUUAGUCUUGCUUGGAGCAGAGGCACUUAGGGCUUAAGUUCUGCCCUGGUUCUGCCGCUGGCUGCUGGGUGACCGAAUAGAUUAUCUGUCUCUCUGGGCUUCAGAGUCUUAAGCACCCAAUGGGUCCACGGUGCGAAUAGGAACACCACAGGAGAAUGGAAUGAGCCCUGGGGUGGCAUAAGACUGAUGGGGUCGAGCUGAGGACCAGGAACCCUGCAGGGCGUAGCCCCGCCCUCCUCCUGUCAGGCCCUAGCUCCUGAUUGGGAGUUUUGGCUCUUGCCUAGAAAGCUAGAAGGUUGUGUCUCCUCACUCAGUCCUGAAGGCCUGUGUAUCUGCAGGCCCUGAAAUCUCUGAAUCAAGUGUUUCAAAAUCCCCAGGGAGGAGUCUCCGGCUUGAGUGAAAACUCCUACUGUGCGUGGUAGCACCUCACUGUAGUUAAGUGUCCCCCAAAACUGUUAUUGGGAGAAGCCAGGGUCUUGCAGCACGCCUGCUGCCUAGCCCUAGACUGUCCCGCUUCUGCCCCAGUGAAGACAAGCUGUGGUAGCCACUAAAUUCCAUCCUGCUGAUGAAGGUCAGCAGACACAGAAGAGGGUGCUGCAGGCCACAGCGAGAACUAAGGAUCAGAGUGCAGGGUGAUCUCACAGGCAGGCAGGCAGGCAUCUUACUUAACUGGUAUUUCCUUUGGCCCUCUUCCUUCUCCCUGCCUUCAAAUUCACAGAAUCGGAAGAAUUUUAACCCUUGGUUGUAUCCCCUCUGGGGAUACAAAUAAAAUAAAAUAAAAUAAAAUAAAAUAAAAUAAAUGACCUACAGAUAUAUUACUAAACUCAACACAAGAAAUGAGAAAAAUUACUGACCACAUGCUGAAUAUAGACACUAAGCAUUAUACUAUAUGUGAACAAAAACCAUCCCAUAAGAUUAUCUUCUAAGAUCAUCAUAAAGCCAAGAAAAUAUGAAAAUACAGACUACCUAGGAAUUCACAGACAAUAUCAGCCCCAGAGAACUAAGUGUACUGUAAGAUAUCAGAAAUGUUAACAAUGGCCCAGUGUGGAAACAGUUCACAGUCAUGGGUAGGGACAUUUAAUGAUGCAAAAGAACUCAUCCAACCCUACAUACAAUUUGAAACAAAAUCCCAACAAAUUUACCUGGUGAUUUUGACAGAUUAAUUUUAAAUUCUAUUUGGUUUUAAAAAAAUAAGAAAAUUAGACCUAACAUAAUUAAGAAAAGUUAUUUUAAAAAAAAGAUCAGCACCUAACAUUCAGUUGUGUUCUUACACAGCAGCAGCAAGCAGCAGGAGCUCUGGGGCUCCAGCACAGGACACCAACCACACUUCCCUAGAACAUUCCAGGGUUGGGUUCCAGGCCCAAACUUUCCCCUCCCCCUUCCAAAACACAGGAGGUCUAGAGACAAUUCCACUUAUAAAGAAACAAAAAGCGUAAGCCACACAGGGAUGCCAUGAACAGAAGGUGUUGAAGCUUACAUCUGGGAACUGCAAACUACUAUCAAACAGGACUAGGAAAAGACAGCCCGUGGCCAUCAUGCAAAAGUGGUUGGUGCUGUCACCAUGGCAACAAAGCCAGCUGCUCUAUACUUUCAACGCAAUCCAGAUAAAAAUGUCUAGUUGUACCUCUUGCAGAAAUUGACAAGCUGAUUCUAAAAUGUGUCAGGAAAUCCAAGGGAACGGGUGCCUAAUGUGAUCAUGAAAUGAACUGGGCUGGGAAGCUUCCAGACAUAUUCCUAGUGGUAGGUACACACAGGCCAGCACAGCAGUGCAGAGCAGGAUAGAAAAGUUCUGUGUCCAUCACUGAUGGGCUUCAGACAAGGACACCAAGACAGUCUGGAGACCAAGGAGCAUGCUUACCAACAGCCGCUUUGAGAACAACUGCUGUCCACACUGCAAAUGGACAGAUGUGGAACCAACUUCAGAUCACAUUUGAAAAUGAACUCAGAAUGGGGCAAAGCCAUCAAUGUGCAAGUUAAAUAAAAACCCUAGAAGAAGAACACUCAAGAGAAGGGCUGUAGUGUUGGGUUAGGCAACAGUUCCUUUAGCACAGGUUACCCAAGGGAAACACCAAUGAAUUAGACUUGAUCAAAAUUACAAACUCGUGCCUCAAAGGAGAUUUGAGCCACAGCAUUUACCUGAUGGAGGGCUAGUAUCCAAAAACAGAACGCUCACAAUUCCACAGCAAAACGAAACGAAACAAAACAAAACAAACAAACAAAAAUAAAAUGUAAAAAAAAAAUUUGAACAGAAACUUCUCCAAAAAAAGACCCCAUAAACAAAAGAUCUAAAACAUCAGCCAUAAGAGAAACAUUAAUCCAAACCACAAAGGAACACAACACACUCACAAGGGUGAGUGUCAUCACUGGACAGACAGCAGCACGUGCUAGCAAGGAUACGGGAAUUAGAUCCUCACACAUUCCUUGUAGCAACUUGAAGUAGUGCAGCCCACAUGGAAAGGUCAGGCAGUUCUUCAAAGCAUAAAAGUUAAAGUUGUCACAUGACCCAUGCUUACCACCUUGCUAUUCACUCAAGAGAAUUGAAGACUCUCAUUCAUAGAAAAGCUUGUACAUGUGUGUUCAGCACACCAUUAUCCUCAGUACCCAAAAGAUACAAGUAAGUCAAACAUCCAUCCACUGAUGAAUGGUUGAGUCACACAAUGGAAUAUUAUGCAGGCAUGAAAAGGCAUUAAGUACGGCACAUGCCAAAACAAAGAACCUUGAGAACACUAAGCUACUUCAAAGCCUGGCACAAAGGCCACAUGUGUAUAUAUGUAUGUGUGUAUAUGAUUUCAUAUGCAUGAAAUCCUGGCAACAGACAAAUUUAUCAACACACAAAACAGAUCAGUGGUUGCUAUGGGCAACAAGAAGUACUGCUAAUAGCAGGGUUACUUUCAGAGAGAAAGUUUCUGCCAUGGCAGAACUGUACAGAAAUGGGACAGUACAAUUUAAAAUAAGUUGAAUGGAAUGUGGAGUGACUCACAAUAAAAAAAAAAAAACACAGAGAAAAAGAUACAAACUAUCUAUGAAUGAAAGGAAGCCAAGGACCAAGACAUGCCAGAAGAGAAGCCAGGCUUGCCUUGCCAGCUGCCAACAUGCCCUCUCUCUCUCUCUCUCUCUAAUCUCAAGAUGGGACACCUGGCUCCUUGCUGGCUUGGUGUUCCUACAAUGCUACUGUGUCUAUCUACUUACUUAGGGAGGGGCCCCCUUAAAAACACCACUGGUAACAUUCCGUAGAUGUUUGCAGGUAUCUCCAUCCCCUGACCUACAAGGUGAUAAAUCAUUCUGUCAGAGGCACAGCAACAUUAAAGCCCUGCCCCCAGACAUGUAACAGUCUAAGGACACCCAACAUUCAAGGAAAUAGGCCGGAGCUAGCUGGUCCCAGAUCUGCCUCUCGGACUGUGGUCCUUGGGCCUUCAGGGAGACAUCAGGCACACAGCAGCAUCCCGGCCCACUCUGAGUCCCUGUGUCUGGGAUUUCCCCACACGAGCUUCUACAAACUGCUAAGAAGCAUUGCUGCAAAAGUUACCACAGACAAUUGCACAAUCGGGACACCUAGAUGGUGCAGUUGACUCUCUUAGGUGGACUGCUCAAGAAGAGGGGUGUACCUGGAUGUCUUCAAGAUGCAGAGCUGGGGUCUGCAUCCUGCUAACAUGCUGAAGCCAUGAGGGUUUACUCAACCCUCACAAUUAUGAGAAGCUCCACUAGGUGCUGACAGCCAUGGGAUAGGCACCCAGAGAAGAGGGCCAUUGGGGUUCUGCUGGAGUUGGAGACUGGACCUAAGGGAUGCCACAUUCCCGUCCUGAGGAAGUAAGAGAAAUGCUGUUUGGAUUCAUUUCUCAGUCACACCUGGCCAAAUCGUCCUGGGUUCAAACACAUUGCAGAAGGUUCUUGAGUUAUCAGAUUCUGUCUGUCAUCUGGAAAUGCUGGGAUGAGGUUCCCAAGGUUGAUUUCCAGGACACUUUGCACGGUCCGAGCUGUCACAGAGACAGCAGAGAGAACACAAGUGUUGUACUUUUGCCCAAUUUUAUCCACUCUGCUGGCCCAACGGACCUUUUAGAGCAAUUAAAACCUGGAGUCGCUCUGGUCAGCAGUCCACUAGUAUCAGAUAGUUUAGGCCUGCUCUGCUCCGGUUAUGUAGAACCCACGAAGAACCUUGUAGCUGUGGAGCUCUGUGGCAUGGCUUCACGGCCUUUGGAUGUUUAUGGAGUCAUUCUUUCACUGUCCAGAAAACCAGACAGUCACAGGUUCUGGCACCAGAACUGUGUUAAGGCAGAGGCCACACCACUCCUCUUCACGUCAAGACCCUAGGCAUAUAUUUAGCAAGCUGCCUGGUGUCAUUUUGUUCUGAUCUGGUGAAGCAAAUCUUUCCCUUCUGACCUGAAUUUAAGGUCGUAAAAGAAAUAAUGUCAUGCAUACUUAAACCCCCAGCAUCAGAAUGGUGUUGAUGACAACUAUUCUGCCAGCCAGAUCUCACUGGGGCUAAACCUCAGCAUUCAGCCUCUGGCAUCCCCACCCGCCACCCUCCCCUGCACACUAUGGGUAUGACUCUGGGCACAGGAAUCAUCUGCUCACUGUCCUUACACUGUCCACCCACUGAGGCCUCAGCUCCUUGCAAACAUCGGUACCGGAAGGUGUCAGAGGGUCUGCCUGGUGACAAGCUUGCCGGCCUGACUUUCUCAGUGGUCACUUCAGCCUCAUGCUGGGGAUGAAGCAGCAAUGAAGGUCCCAGGCUAUGCUCUCACUGGCUUUUCUGCAGAGCCCUGGGCAUGCAGAGUGAUUACUAUAGCGGGUGAAGCUCACUGUAUCGCUCUGACUUACUGGCCUGAAAUGAUUCCACCACUUCAGUGGCUGGGGUACAGCCUGGUGGCAUAGCACAUGCCUGGCAUAUAUAGGAGUGUCUCUGUUCAGGGGGCUGGAGAGAUGGCUCAGUGGUUAGGAGCACUGACUGCUCCUUCCAGAGGUCCUGAGUUCAAAUCCUAGCAACCACAUGGUGGCUCACAACCAUCUGUAAUGGGGAUCUGGUGUCCUCUUCUGGUCUGAAG
Molecule: long non-coding RNA, 10619 nt
Organism: Apodemus sylvaticus (European woodmouse)
Lineage: Eukaryota; Metazoa; Chordata; Mammalia; Rodentia; Muridae
Exons: 3
Source: RefSeq, a predicted model, not a curated record